UCAGUUGGUUAGAGCGCACCCCUGAUAAGGGUGAGGUCUCUGGUUCAAAUCCAG
This 54-nucleotide transfer RNA is filed under the name Skeletonema japonicum. Its description in RNAcentral is "partial tRNA". It matches the Rfam family "tRNA", at positions 12 to 62 of the family's 71-position model. Rfam says of the family: Transfer RNA (tRNA) molecules are approximately 80 nucleotides in length. Their secondary structure includes four short double-helical elements and three loops (D, anti-codon, and T loops). Further hydrogen bonds mediate the characteristic L-shaped molecular structure. tRNAs have two regions of fundamental functional importance: the anti-codon, which is responsible for specific mRNA codon recognition, and the 3' end, to which the tRNAs corresponding amino acid is attached (by aminoacyl-tRNA synthetases). tRNAs cope with the degeneracy of the genetic code in two manners: having more than one tRNA (with a specific anti-codon) for a particular amino acid; and 'wobble' base-pairing, i.e. permitting non-standard base-pairing at the 3rd anti-codon position. The record is from RNAcentral. Lineage: Eukaryota; Bacillariophyta; Thalassiosirophyceae; Thalassiosirales; Thalassiosiraceae.